CCUUCCGCAAUGGACGAAAGUCUGACGGAGCAACGCCGCGUGAGUGAUGAAGGUCUUCGGAUCGUAAAACUCUGUUGUUAGGGAAGAACAAGUACCGUUCGAAUAUGGCGGUACCUUGACGGUACCUACCCAGAAAGCCCCGGCUAACUACGUGCCAGCAGCCGCGGUAAUACGUAGGUGGCAAGCGUUGUCCGGAAUUAUUGGGCGUAAAGCGCGCGCAGGCGGUUUCUUAAGUCUGAUGUGAAAGCCCCCGGCUCAACCGGGGAGGGUCAUUGGAAACUGGGGAACUUGAGUGCAGAAGAGGAGAGUGGAAUUCCACGUGUAGCGGUGAAAUGCGUGGAGAUGUGGAGGAACACCAGUGGCGAAGGCGACUCGCUGGUCUGUAACUGACGCUGAGGCGCGAAAGCGUGGGGAGCGAACAG
RNAcentral lists this ribosomal RNA (422 nucleotides) under uncultured bacterium. RNAcentral's name for it is "bacterial SSU rRNA". It matches the Rfam family "Bacterial small subunit ribosomal RNA", at positions 362 to 775 of the family's 1533-position model. The record is from RNAcentral.